RNAcentral lists this ribosomal RNA (313 nucleotides) under uncultured Vibrio sp. Its description in RNAcentral is "bacterial SSU rRNA". It matches the Rfam family "Bacterial small subunit ribosomal RNA", at positions 200 to 507 of the family's 1533-position model. The record is from RNAcentral. Lineage: Bacteria; Pseudomonadati; Pseudomonadota; Gammaproteobacteria; Vibrionales; Vibrionaceae.
ACCUUCGGGCCUCUCGCGUCAGGAUAUGCCCAGGUGGGAUUAGCUAGUUGGUGAGGUAAGGGCUCACCAAGGCAACGAUCCCUAGCUGGUCUGAGAGGAUGAUCAGCCACACUGGAACUGAGACACGGUCCAGACUCCUACGGGAGGCAGCAGUGGGGAAUAUUGCACAAUGGGCGCAAGCCUGAUGCAGCCAUGCCGCGUGUAUGAAGAAGGCCUUCGGGUUGUAAAGUACUUUCAGCAGUGAGGAAGGUUCAUACGUUAAUAGCGUAUGGAUUUGACGUUAGCUGCAGAAGAAGCACCGGCUAACUCCGUG